AGAGUUGAUCCUGGCUUAGGAUGAACGCUGGCGGCGUGCCUAACACAUGCAAGUCGAACGAAGCAUACGGACUGGAGAUUCGUCGAAGGACCGUAUGACUUAGUGGCGGACGGGUGAGUAAUGUAUGAGCAACCUGCCUUUCAGAGGGGGACAACAGUUGGAAACGACUGCUAAUACCGCGUAACGUAUCGUGAGGGCAUCCUCGUGAUACCAAAGGAGCAAUCCGCUGAAAGAUGGGCUCAUAUCUGAUUAGCUUGUUGGCGGGGUAACGGCCCACCAAGGCGACGAUCAGUAGCCGGACUGAGAGGUUGAACGGCCACAUUGGGACUGAGAUACGGCCCAGACUCCUACGGGAGGCAGCAGUGGGGAAUAUUGGGCAAUGGGCGAAAGCCUCGACCCAGCAACGCCGCGUGAAGGAAGAAGGUCUUCGGAUUGUAAACUUCUUUUAUGAGGGACGAAGGACGUGACGGUACCUCAUGAAUAAGCCACGGCUAACUACGUGCCAGCCGCAGC
This 513-nucleotide ribosomal RNA is filed under the name uncultured bacterium. RNAcentral describes it as "bacterial SSU rRNA". It matches the Rfam family "Bacterial small subunit ribosomal RNA", at positions 8 to 518 of the family's 1533-position model. The record is from RNAcentral.